AGAGUUUGAUCCUGGCUCAGGACGAACGCUGGCGGCGUGCUUAACACAUGCAAGUCGAACGAUGAUGCUUGGUGCUUGCACUGGGUGGAUUAGUGGCGAACGGGUGAGUAAUACGUGAGUAACCUGCCCCUGUCUUUGGGAUAAGCCUGGGAAACUGGGUCUAAUACUGGAUAUUCUGCUUGAACCGCAUGGUUUUUGUUGGAAAGAUUUUUCGGAUGGGGAUGGGCUCACGGCCUAUCAGCUUGUUGGUGGGGUGAUGGCCUACCAAGGCGUCGACGGGUAGCCGGCCUGAGAGGGUGACCGGCCACAUUGGGACUGAGAUACGGCCCAGACUCCUACGGGAGGCAGCAGUGGGGAAUAUUGCACAAUGGACGCAAGUCUGAUGCAGCGACGCCGCGUGGGGGAUGAAGGCUUUCGGGUUGUAAACUCCUUUCAGUACAGAAGAAGCGAAAGUGACGGUAUGUGCAGAAGAAGCACCGGCUAACUACGUGCCAGCAGCCGCGGUAAUACGUAGGGUGCGAGCGUUGUCCGGAAUUAUUGGGCGUAAAGAGCUCGUAGGCGGUUUGUUGCGCCUGCUGUGAAAACCUGGGGCUUAACUUCGGGAUUGCAGUGGGUACGGGCAGACUAGAGUGUGGUAGGGGUAAUUGGAAUUCCUGGUGUAGCGGUGGAAUGCGCAGAUAUCAGGAGGAACACCGAUGGCGAAGGCAGGUUACUGGGCCACCACUGACGCUGAGGAGCGAAAGCGUGGGUAGCGAACAGGAUUAGAUACCCUGGUAGUCCACGCCGUAAACGUUGGGCACUAGGUGUGGGGCCUUUCCAUGGGUUCUGCGCCGUAGCUAACGCAUUAAGUGCCCCGCCUGGGG
Molecule: ribosomal RNA, 863 nt
Filed under: uncultured Arcanobacterium sp.
Lineage: Bacteria; Bacillati; Actinomycetota; Actinomycetes; Actinomycetales; Actinomycetaceae
Description: bacterial SSU rRNA
Rfam family: Bacterial small subunit ribosomal RNA
Source: RNAcentral